This 1752-nucleotide long non-coding RNA is filed under the name Felis catus (domestic cat). RNAcentral describes it as "lncRNA (ENSFCAG00000047056.1)". The record is from RNAcentral. Lineage: Eukaryota; Metazoa; Chordata; Mammalia; Carnivora; Felidae.
GGAUGGGGUUGGGUUGAGGGUUUAGACACUACAACUUUGGAGGUGCUGGCUAAAUAUUUGGUCCAACUAGAGGUGGAAGAAGAAGCGGUGUGGGGUGGGAUGGAUGUGGACUUGGAUGCAAAUGAAUGCAAAUCACUGUGCAAUGAUAUGCAGAUGUGCGUCCUGGAUUUGCGGGGAGGAGUCCCAUGACUUCAGAAUCUGGCUUCUGGUGGGUUCUGCCAUCUGAGGGGCUCCGUGCCCGUGGAGAUCUUGCAUGGCAGGGCCAGCAGUGGACCCCUGUGUCGCUCUCCAACAUCAGUGGGAACCAUCUGGGGAGCUGCAGUCACCCACCGGGGCAGCCUGGCUGGUGAGGGAUGUGUAAUGACAGAGGCCUGCCCUGGGGAAAGGCUGGAAGUGUGGCCAGAGCUGAGGACCUCUGGGACCUGGGGACACAGCUCUGGGAGAGCACAGAGGGCUGGACAGGAAGGAAAGACUAACUUGGUGUCAUUUCCAGGUUUUCCGACUCUGUCUCAGCUCUCUGCUGUGACCACGACCGGGAGCCCCUGGCUGCCUGCCACCUGCUACUGACACUCCCAGCCCGAGGCUGGACUGCCCACCAACCCUCAGCCCAUACCCCAAGUGGGUUGGCGGGCCAGGGCAACUGGGGCAUCUAGGGGCUUCCCAACACUGAUGGGCGCCCUCCUCGGCCAGGCACUGUGACUGUGACUGUGACUAUCACAGUCAAGGGAGCUGAGACCUAAAGAGGCUGUGAGUUACACACAGUGGGUCAGGGAAGAACCGGGUCAGAACCCAUGUCUCCAGCGUGGGGCCGGGUGGAGUCCCACAUGGCAACGUGACCCCAGAGGGCCACCUCCUUCAGAUUCCUUGACAGCAAAACCUACAUCUAAGAGGAUUUGGAUCAAAUCUCCAAACUCCAAACACGCAGUUGAGACGAACCAAGCUGGAGGAAGCCUUGUAUACAGCCACUUCUCAUGGUCCCCACCCCCCCAGACAUCUGCAAGGACCUGGCAACACCUCCCACCCCACCCCCAAAAUAUCCCUCUUCUGCCUGUCUGCCCCAUGAACUGGGAUUCAACCAUGAGAUCCGUCCCCAGGAUGAGGGAUUACCCUCCCUCCCGAAUACUGAACUCUGAGAGUUUUUCAAAGGCUUCCCAGCGUGUCCACCCCCAGGGCCCUGGGACCUGGCCAGGCAGAGCCCGAAAGAAGGAAACGGGAUACAGAUCGAGGAAGUGGCUUUGAGAAGGUGGAGCACACAGGCAGACUUUGCUGACGGAAGAGUUUUGCCGCUGGUCGACCAGGCCCGCCUGUCAUCAGGAUAAAAAUUAUUUUCUAGUUGUCAAAAAAAUAUUUCCAAGGGGGCUGUUGUGUUGCAGUAAGGCAGGCAGAGAAGGAAAGCAAUGUUUACUCCUCCCUUGUUGCCUGUCGGGCACCUUGUAUGUAUACUUGCUGGCCCACUGUGUCUCAGAAACUGUCUUUCCGAAGAAACCGAGGCCUGGGAGGUUGCCCUGCCCGCCCCCCACCCACCCCCACUCUCAGUGGGUAAGUGACAGAGCUAAGAUCCCAGGUCUGCCAGACACAAAACCCCUACUUUCAAGGCCCCGCCCUGCCAGCGGCUGUGGGGAAAGAGCUGGACACCAUCUGGGAAGAAUCGGAGAAGAUUUCUAGAAAAGGCCUCAUGUGGAAAUGAAAAAAAAAAAAGCUUCAUUAGCGCCUUUUAAUCAAUAAAGCAGAAACGUAACCUUCCUCCUUGCA